RNAcentral lists this long non-coding RNA (1352 nucleotides) under Trifolium pratense (red clover). RNAcentral's name for it is "long non-coding RNA (TPRA_LNC013850)". The record is from RNAcentral. Lineage: Eukaryota; Viridiplantae; Streptophyta; Magnoliopsida; Fabales; Fabaceae.
CACGAGGCAUACAGUACAUACAACACCAAAAGCAAAAAUCCAUCCAAACUUCAGUUUGUGUUCCUCCACGUCAAACUUGAAGUUAUCUAUUACCAUGUCUAAAAUGAUUUUUCUCACCAAGUGUUGUUCCAAUUUUAGUCUGCUAGCUCGGCCGAAAUCUUUUGCUACAUGGUUCCUAUGUUCGGUUGCACUCUCUCACUCUAUCACACCUCUACUUGUUCAGCGAUUUCCUCUUCCCAUUCACAAACGUUUUCAUCAAAAUGAACUCUUUAAAAUCUUGUUACUGCUUAGUCAAAGGUGGAAGAGGUGUUGUUGUCGCUUAUUGUGUCAUAAGAGACAGAGAAAUAAAAGAGCAAGAGUUGUGGUCAUGAACUAGUAACAUGAAUGAAUGUUGGUAUGAGCUCAAGCGAAGAGAAGAAGUGCUCUGGUAAGAGACCGAGCUGUUCAAGUGAAAAUAGCGUUGGAGGCAUUUAAUCAAACACUUGAAGUGCUUGUUCAAGAGCCGCGAAGUAGGCCGAGCAGAGCUGUGAAAGCGAAGGCCAAAAGGGUGUGGGUUUCAAUUAACUCCUGUUUUGUUCUUUUUCUUAGAACAUCAAACCUAACACUUAGAGUGCUAUUCAAAAAGCAUAAAAAAUCAAGUGGAAAUAGUGUUUGGAGCAUUCAAUCAAAUACUUGGUGUACUUGCUCAAAGUUGGAAAAUUAAAGAGGGAGGUGAAAAUUCAUUUUCAACAACUAAGUUUUUUAAGCUCAAUCAUCCAAGCUGAACAAUAAAUAGAAAAACAUCUGAGAAACAAUAAGUUGGAGAAAAUAUUCAUUUCAAUGCACUUGAUUAUUCAACUAAAAGUUAUCAUGAAAAUGAGGAGGGGGUGCCGAGCAGAGCUGUUGAUAGAAGAGCAAAUAUUUUACAAAACAAGGGUUUAAGUUAUAAAGCGCUUUUUUGUCAAAUAAAAAAAGUUAUAAAGAGCUUUAGCUGUUGUGGUGAACAAUACUCACAUUUAUUAGGAACCAAAUAGCAUAAAAUUAGGUAAGAGGAAAGCUGUUGAGCAGAGGUGAGAGGUGUGGAGCUGGUGAGUGGCUAUUCGAUGGAAGGAGAGAGCGCCAAGCAACAGAGGAUGUCGGCCCUGAUAAUAGCUUUGGUUUUCUUGGAACAUUGCUACUCUUUCUUAAAGUGACGAGCUUCAACUUCAAGUGGUUGAAAGCUAUAAGUUCUUCAAGUUCAAUCAUCUAAACUCAACCAAGUAAACAAUAUACUUAGCUUUCAAACGAGACGCCGAGCAGAUCCGAUAGAAGGCCGAACAGAGAUACACAUAAAUGAAAAAGUUAGAUUUUCUGGUGGAAUUUUUUAAGAAAAA